RNAcentral lists this long non-coding RNA (173 nucleotides) under Monodelphis domestica (gray short-tailed opossum). RNAcentral's name for it is "lncRNA (ENSMODG00000043873.1)". Lineage: Eukaryota; Metazoa; Chordata; Mammalia; Didelphimorphia; Didelphidae. The record is from RNAcentral.
GAGUAAAGAUUUCAUUUUUUCUUUCUUUUUCUUGAUUUUCUUUUCAGAACAUGCCUAAAGAAGAAGUAUGUUUUUCAGGACUUCAUUUGUACAAUAGGGUCCUCUCAGGAGUGUUGAAGCCUCUGGUGAAGAGAAAAGAACUAAGGAUUUCAUUUCAGCAGCUCCAGUUCUAA